CUCUUUAAUAAAUUGAUAUUUUAGAUGAGGCAAAUGAACCAUUAUCUCCAUAGUUAAAUUUUGAUAUAUUACUACACCUAACAUUAUUUUUAGAAAAAUUCGUACUAUUAGUCCCUAACCUAUUUCUUUGAUCGAUGUGAGCACUUGGCGAAGAUCAACUUGUAUCCCUAGAAUAACUUUUAUCCGUUGAGCGACGGCCUUCAACUUGGCACCAGUGAUCAUUGGAUCACUAAGGCCGAUUGUCAUCCUUGCUCAAUGAGUGGAUCUUGUAGUCAAACUCUCUUCUGCCUUUGCACUCGAGAGACAAUCUCCAUUCAACCCAAAGAAACUUUUACAUUCUCCAUUACUUUUUGAGAAGCCUACGUUCCAUGAAAAUUGUCUACUUGAGAGACCGUUCCCUUUGUUUGUAGAUUCUGACAGAAGGUUAAAAUUCUAAUUUUUUCAGAGUGACAUCUCACUGAUCACUCGGACCCUCUCGAAAGGAGGCAUUCUUUGCCAACCUACUCCUAACAUUACUUCUAGAAAAAGUCGUACCAGUAGUCCAGCAAUACCAUUAUGAAUUGUUUCUUAGUGUUGAUUGAAAGUAGAAAAGUAGUUCUGGACCAAGCUGCC
This 612-nucleotide long non-coding RNA is filed under the name Olea europaea subsp. europaea. Lineage: Eukaryota; Viridiplantae; Streptophyta; Magnoliopsida; Lamiales; Oleaceae. The record is from RNAcentral.